AACGCGAAGAACCUUACCAGGUCUUGACAUCCCUCUGACCGGUCCGUAACGGGACCUUUCCUUCGGGACAGAGGAGACAGGUGGUGCAUGGUUGUCGUCAGCUCGUGUCGUGAGAUGUUGGGUUAAGUCCCGCAACGAGCGCAACCCCUAUCCUUAGUAGCCAGCAGUUCGGCUGGGCACUCUAGGGAGACUGCCAGGGAUAACCUGGAGGAAGGCGGGGAUGACGUCAAAUCAUCAUGCCCCUUAUGAUCUGGGCUACACACGUGCUACAAUGGUGGCUACAAAGAGAAGCAAACCUGCGAGGGGGAGCAAAUCUCAGAAAGGCCAUCCCAGUUCGGAUUGUAGUCUGCAACUCGACUACAUGAAGCUGGAAUCGCUAGUAAUCGCGAAUCAGAAUGUCGCGGUGAAUACGUUCCCGGGUCUUGUACACACGC
This 434-nucleotide ribosomal RNA is filed under the name uncultured bacterium. Its description in RNAcentral is "bacterial SSU rRNA". It matches the Rfam family "Bacterial small subunit ribosomal RNA", at positions 958 to 1393 of the family's 1533-position model. The record is from RNAcentral.